GAUGAAGAACGUAGCGAAAUGCGAUAAGUAAUGUGAAUUGCAGAAUUCCGUGAAUCAUCGAGUCUUUGAACGCACAUUGCGCCCCCUGGUAUUCCGGGGGGCAUGCCUGUCCGAGCGUCAUUGCUGCCCUCAAGCACGGCUUGUGUGUUGGGCCCCGUCCUCCGAUCCCGGGGGACGGGCCCGAAAGGCAGCGGCGGCACCGCGUCCGGUCCUCGAGCGUAUGGGGCUUUGUCACCCGCUCUGUAGGCCCGGCCGGCGCUUGCCGAUCAACCCAAAUUUUUAUCCAGGUUGACCUCGGAUCAGGUAGGGAUACCCGCUGAACUUAAGCAUAUCAAUAACGGAGGA
This 345-nucleotide unclassified non-coding RNA is filed under the name soil metagenome. RNAcentral describes it as "partial contains 5.8S ribosomal RNA, internal transcribed spacer 2, and large subunit ribosomal RNA". The stretch from base 1 to 120 matches the Rfam family "5.8S ribosomal RNA", at positions 35 to 154 of the family's 154-position model. The record is from RNAcentral.